Molecule: ribosomal RNA, 789 nt
Filed under: uncultured archaeon
Lineage: Archaea
Description: bacterial SSU rRNA
Rfam family: Archaeal small subunit ribosomal RNA
Source: RNAcentral
ACUGCUCAGUAACACGUGGAUAACCUGCCCUGCGGUGGGAAAUAACCCCGGGAAACUGGGGAUAAUGUCCCAUAGGCUACGGAUGCUGGAAUGCUCUGUAGCUCAAAGAUUUAUCGCCACAGGAUGGGUCUGCGACCGAUUAGGUAGUUGUUGGGGUAACGGCCCAACAAGCCUUUGAUCGGUACGGGUUGUGGGAGCAAGAGCCCGGAGAUGGAUUCUGAGACACGAAUCCGGGCCCUACGGGGCGCAGCAGGCGCGAAAACUUUACAAUGCGGGAAACCGUGAUAAGGGAACUCCGAGUGUCCGUCAAUGCGGACUGUCCGUAUGUUUAAAAAGCAUGCGAAGAAAGGGCCGGGCAAGACCGGUGCCAGCCGCCGCGGUAAUACCAGCGGCUCGAGUGGUGGCCACUAUUACUGGGCUUAAAGCGUUCGUAGCUGGGUUGUUAAGUCUCUUGGGAAAUCUAUCGGCUUAACCGAUAGGCGUCCAAGGGAUACUGGCAAUCUAGGGACCGGGAGAGGUGAGGGGUACUUCAGGGGUAGGAGUGAAAUCCUGUAAUCCUUGGGGGACCACCUGUGGCGUAGGCGCCUCACCAGAACGGCUCCGACAGUGAGGGACGAAAGCUGGGGGAGCAAACCGGAUUAGAUACCCGGGUAGUCCCAGCCGUAAACGAUGCGCGUUAGGUGUAUCGAUGACCACGAGUCAUCGAGGUGCCGAAGGGAAACCGUGAAACGCGCCGCCUGGGAAGUACGGUCGCAAGGCUGAAACUUAAAGGAAUUGGCGGGGGAGCAC